CAGCCGCCGCGGGAAAACGGAGGGAGCUAGCGUUGUUCGGAAUUACUGGGCGUAAAGCGCACGUAGGCGGCUUUGUAAGUUAGAGGUGCAAGCCUGGAGCUCAACUCCAGAAUUGCCUUUAAGACUGCAUCGCUUGAAUCCAGGAGAGGUGAGUGGAAUUCCGAGUGUAGAGGUGAAAUUCGUAGAUAUUCGGAAGGACACCAGUGGCGAAGGCGGCUCACUGGACUGGUAUUGACGCUGAGGUGCGAAAGCGUGGGGAGCAAACAGGAUUAGAUACCCCCGUAGUCCCUGUCUCUUAUAC
RNAcentral lists this ribosomal RNA (301 nucleotides) under uncultured bacterium. Its description in RNAcentral is "partial 16S ribosomal RNA". It matches the Rfam family "Bacterial small subunit ribosomal RNA", at positions 509 to 807 of the family's 1533-position model. The record is from RNAcentral.